Molecule: ribosomal RNA, 619 nt
Filed under: Pseudomonas oryzihabitans
Lineage: Bacteria; Pseudomonadati; Pseudomonadota; Gammaproteobacteria; Pseudomonadales; Pseudomonadaceae
Description: bacterial SSU rRNA
Rfam family: Bacterial small subunit ribosomal RNA
Source: RNAcentral
CUUGCUCCUCGAUUCAUCGGCGGACGGGUGAGUAAUGCCUAGGAAUCUGCCUAGUAGUGGGGGACACGUUUUCAAAGGAACCGCUAAUACCGCAUACGUCCUACGGGAGAAAGUGGGGGAUCUUCGGACCUCACGCUAUUAGAUGAGCCUAGGUCGGAUUAUCUAGUUGAGAGGGUAAAGGCCUACCAAGGCCACGAUCCGUAACUGGUCUGAGAGGAUGAUCAGUCACACUGGAACUGAGACACGGUCCAGACUCCUACGGGAGGCAGCAGUGGGGAAUAUUGGACAAUGGGCGAAAGCCUGAUCCAGCCAUGCCGCGUGUGUGAAGAAGGCCUUCGGGUCGUAAAGCACUUUAAGUUGGGAGGAAGGGCUCAUAGCGAAUACCUGUGAGUUUUGACGUUACCAACAGAACUAAGCACCGGCUAACUUCGUGCCAGCAGCCGCGGGUAUUACGAAGGGUGCAAGCGUUAAUCGGAAUUACUGGGCGUAAGCGCGCGUAGGUGGCUUGAUAAUUUGGAUGUGAAAUCCCCGGGCUCACCCUGGGAACUGCAUCCAAACCUGUCUGGCUUAAGUGCCGUUAGAGGGUAAUGGGAAAUUUCCAGUGUACGGGUGAAAUGCC